UUAAGAUCUGCUAAUGGCAUAAGCCUUCUCUGCUGACAGGACACCCCAUGUGCUAACUUUCCGCUUGGGUCCCCCGAUAUAAAGUCUGCUGAUAAAAGUUGCUCAGCACCGUCAGGCUUAUCAAUGGACUUUGUACCAGAAUUCUCUCCUGAAAUGAACUAUCUUCUUAAUUUCCACCAUUUCCCACUUCUUUCUGUCAUGAAGCCAUUUCUACCUGGGAAGAAUAAAGAAAAACUGCAUGAGGAUGAGAAAGUUGAACUGCUUCCCCCUCCCCCAAGCCUGCUCUUUUCCUUUUUAGUCCUACUUCAGGUAAGACACAAUAAGUACCUCUAUUAUGAUUCUAGAGGAGGGGAGAGGAAAAACCUAGAGCAAAAUCCAGAGAUAC
RNAcentral lists this long non-coding RNA (385 nucleotides) under Vulpes vulpes (red fox). RNAcentral's name for it is "lncRNA (ENSVVUG00000009351.1)". The record is from RNAcentral. Lineage: Eukaryota; Metazoa; Chordata; Mammalia; Carnivora; Canidae.